UGGGAAAGAAAAACAUUAUUGAACAUAUUGGACUGAGCCCAACACACACUAAAACAAAUUAGUACAGAGAAAAGGGCAAAGGGGGAAAGCGUAAAAGCAGAGUUAGAGAGAGACAGGCGUGGAGGAUGCAUGGGUGAAGAGGAGAGGUCUUCUCUGUGGUGGGAAGAUGAUUUUUCUUAGUGCUUCUUUCUUCUGUAUCUCAUAUCCUAUAUAUAGAGAGGGAAAGACAGUGAACAGUGUGUGUUGGUAUGAUUAUGAACCCAGGGUUUUCUCCUCAUGCAAAUGUUUUCAAAUUCACUGUCGAAUGCGCAUCCAAAGGGAACAAUGAGAGUGGCAUUGGGGUUGUCUUGAGAAACAUUAAUGGUGAUUUUACAAAUUGUUUUUGCAAAAGAUAUAAUUAGCUGUUUUUGCAAAAGACUUUAGGCAUGCUUGGUUUCAACAAUUCAUCAUGCAUUAGAAUUCUGCCAACACUUUAAAAUCUCAAAUGCAGUAGUAAUUGAAAACCACUUUUCCCUUGCGGUGGACUGGGUCAAUAUAUAAUAGGAAAAUUUGACAUUGGAAACUUCUAAAUAAGUUUAGUUCAAUUGAUUACUUGAGCGAUAGGGCCACAAUUUCACCGUUGCAAAUUUGUGCCUUUUCCAAAUUGUUGCUUGUCUACUGAACAUUAACUAAUGUUAUGUGAGAUUUGUUUUGAAUCUUUUGAUUUGUCAAUUUAAGUAGGGG
RNAcentral lists this long non-coding RNA (723 nucleotides) under Lotus japonicus. RNAcentral's name for it is "long non-coding RNA (LJAP_LNC001737)". The record is from RNAcentral. Lineage: Eukaryota; Viridiplantae; Streptophyta; Magnoliopsida; Fabales; Fabaceae.